CAAGGUACUAAGGGCACGCGGUGGAUGCCUUGGCGGCGGGAGGCGAUGAAGGGCGUGGCAAGCUGCGAUAAGCCCGGGGGAGCCGCAAGCAGGCGUUGAUCCCGGGAUUCCCGAAUGGGGAAACCUGGGUGGCCGUUGAGGCCACUCGCCGCCGAAAGGCGGUGCGAUACCGGGGGAAGUGAAACAUCUCAGUACCCCGAGGAAAAGAAAUCAACCGAGAUUCCCCUAGUAGCGGCGAGCGAACGGGGAGGAGCCCAAACCAGCGUGGUGUCAAAGCCCGUGGGCGUUGCCACGCUGGGGUUGCGGGACACGGCCGGGCGAGGCCACGGACUCGCCGGGGAGUUACAAAUCCCUCCUCUAGCCGAACCACCUGGGAAGGUGGGCCGGAGAGGGUGACAGCCCCGUAGGCGAAAGGGGAGGGACUCCCUGGGCCGUGCUCCCGAGUACCGCGGGACACGUGGAAUCCCGUGGGAAGCUGGGGGGACCACCCUCCAAGGCUAAAUACUACCCGCCGUCCGAUAGUGCACCAGUACCGUGAGGGAAAGGUGAAAAGCACCCCGGAAGGGGAGUGAAAGAGGACCUGAAACCGCGUGCCUACAAGAAGUCGGAGCCCCCAUUUGGGGGUGACGGCGUGCCUUUUGAUUAAUGAGCCCGCGAGUUGCCGUCGGUGGCGAGGUUAAGCCGAUGAAGGCGUAGCCGCAGCGAAAGCGAGUCCGAACAGGGCGUUCAGUCACCGGCGGCAGACCCGAAGCCGGGUGAGCUACCCCUGGGCAGGGUGAAGGUGGGUUAAAACCCACUGGAGGCCCGAACCGGUGGACAGUGAAAAGUCCUCGGAUGACCUGGGGGUAGGAGUGAAAAGCUAACCGAACCCGGUGAUAGCUGGUUCUCCCCGAAAUGCAUUGAGGUGCAGCCUCGGGCGGUCUGUGCAGGGGGUAGAGCACUGAUGGGGCUAGGGGGGUUUCCUCCGAACCCCGUCAAACUCCGAAUUCCUGCACACAAAGCCCGGGAGUGAGCCCGCGGGGGAUAAGCUCCGCGGACGAGAGGGGAACAACCCAGACCGCCGGCUAAGGGCCCGAAGAGGUGGCUAAGUGGUAAAGGAUGUGGAGUGCCUAAGACAGCUGGGAUGUUGGCUUAGAAGCAGCCAUCAUUUAAAGAGUGCGUAACAGCUCACCAGCCGAGGCGCUCUGCACCGAAAAUGUAACGGGGCUCAAGCCACCCCCCGAAGCCGCGGGUCAGUGCCUCCGCUGGAGGUACUGGCGGUAGGGGAGCUUUCCGCUGUAGGGUGAAGGCGGACCCGCGAGGGCCGCUGGACGAGGCGGAAGUGAGAAUGCGGGCAUGAGUAUACGAAAGGAGGGUGAGAAUCCCUCCCCCCGUAAGCCCAAGGGUACCUGGGGAAGGGUCGUCCGCCCAGGGUUAGCCGGGACCCUAAGGUGAACCCGAAAGGGGUAGCCGAAGGGAAGCCGGUUAAUAUUCCGGCGCCAUCUGCGGUCGAUGGUACGAGGGGUGACGCAGGAGGGUAGGCGCCGGGGGCAAGUGGCAUGCCCCUCCAAGCGGUUAGGGCGAUGACGGGCGUAGGUAAAUCCGCGCCCCGAGCCUGAGCCGUGAUGGGGAGGUCCCUUCGGGGACCAACGGUGCUGACCCCACACUGCCGAGAAAAACCUCGCGUACCGCUUGAGACCGUAGGUGCCCGUUCCGCAAACCGACACAGGUGGGCGGGCUGAGAAGGCUCAGGGGAGCGGGUGAACCCUCGCCAAGGAACUCGGCAAAUUGGCCCCGUAACUUCGGGAGAAGGGGUGCCGCGUUAGGGUGAACCCAGGGGAAGGGGCAACCCGGAAACUGGGGGAGCCCGAGGCGGUCGCAGUGACAAGGCCCUGGCGACUGUUUACCAAAAACACAGGUCUCUGCUAACUCGAAAAGAGGAAGUAUAGGGACUGACGCCUGCCCAGUGCCGGAAGGUUAAGGGGAGGGGUGAGGCUCCCCUUGUGGGAGCGUAGCUCCGACCCGAAGCCCCGGUAAACGGCGGCCGUAACUAUAACGGUCCUAAGGUAGCAUUCGCUGCCUGGAUAAGGGUGAGCGAAAUUCCUUGUCGGGUAAGUUCCGACCUGCAUGAAUGGCGUAACGACUGGGGCACUGUCUCGGCGGGGGGCCCGGCGAAAUUUCAGUCUGGGUGAAGAUGCCCAGUACCCGCGGCUAGACGGAAAGACCCCGUGGAGCUUUACUGCAGCCUGGUAUUGGGCUCCGGUGCAUCGUGUAUAGAAUAGGUGGGAGGCUGUGAAGCCGCCUCGCCAGGGGCGGUGGAGCCACCAGUGGAAUACCACCCUCGGUGCACUGGAGUUCUAACCUGACCCUGUGAAGAGCAGGGUGGGGACAGUGCCAGGUGGGCAGUUUGACUGGGGCGGUCACCUCCUAAAAGGUAACGGAGGUGUGCAAAGGUCGGCUCAGGUGGGUUGGAAAUCCACCGUAGAGUGCAAGGGCAUAAGCCGGCCUGACUGCGAGGCCGACAGGCCGAGCAGGGGGGAAACCCGGCCCUAGUGACCCGGCGGUCCCGUGUGGAAGGGCCGUCGAUCAACGGAUAAAAGUUACCCCGGGGAUAACAGGCUGGUCCCGCCCGAGAGUUCACAUCGACGGCGGGGUUCGGCACCUCGAUGUCGGCUCAUCCCAUCCUGGGGCUGAAGCAGGUCCCAAGGGUUGGGCUGUUCGCCCAUUAAAGGGGUACGUGAGCUGGGUUCAGACCGUCGUGAGACAGGUCGGUCCCUAUCUGCCGCGGGCGUAGGAGGCUUGAGGGGGGUCCUCCCUUGUACGAGAGGACCGGGAGGAGGGAGCCUCUGGUGUACCGGCUGUCGCGCCAGCGGCAUACGCCGGGUAGCUAUGCUCCUGAGCGAUAACCGCUGAAAGCAUCUAAGCGGGAAGCGCGCCCCAAGAUUAGGCCUCCCAUCCCUUUAAGGGAGUAAGGCCGGUCCGAGAAGAGGACCUUGAUAGGCCAGGGGUGUAAGCGCCGCAAGGCGUUGAGCCCACUGGUACUAAUCGGCCGAGGCCUUGA
This 3040-nucleotide ribosomal RNA is filed under the name Thermotoga petrophila. RNAcentral's name for it is "23S ribosomal RNA". It matches the Rfam family "Bacterial large subunit ribosomal RNA". Lineage: Bacteria; Thermotogati; Thermotogota; Thermotogae; Thermotogales; Thermotogaceae. The record is from RNAcentral.